AGUUCAGAUUGCAGGCUGCAACUCGCCUGCAUGAAGUUGGAAUUGCUAGUAAUCGCGAAUCAGAAUGUCGCGGUGAAUACGUUCCCGGGCCUUGUACACACCGCCCGUCACACCAUGAGAGUCGGGAACACCCGAAGUCCGUAGCCUAACCGCAAGGGGGGCGCGGCCGAAGGUGGGUUCGAUAAUUGGGGUGAAGUCGUAACAAGGUAUC
This 211-nucleotide ribosomal RNA is filed under the name uncultured bacterium. RNAcentral's name for it is "partial 16S ribosomal RNA". It matches the Rfam family "Bacterial small subunit ribosomal RNA", at positions 1290 to 1500 of the family's 1533-position model. The record is from RNAcentral.